GUCUCUGCGAAGCCGUAAGGCGAAGUAUAGGGGCUGACGCCUGCCCGGUGCUGGAAGGUUAAGAGGAGCGCUUAGCGUAAGCGAAGGUGCGAAUUGAAGCCCCAGUAAACGGCGGCCGUAACUAUAAGGUCCUAAGGUAGCGAAAUUCCUUGUCGGGUAAGUUCCGACCCGCACGAAAGGCGCAACGAUCUGGGCACUGUCUCAACGAGAGACUCGGUGAA
Molecule: ribosomal RNA, 221 nt
Filed under: Bacillus licheniformis
Lineage: Bacteria; Bacillati; Bacillota; Bacilli; Caryophanales; Bacillaceae
Description: partial 23S ribosomal RNA
Rfam family: Bacterial large subunit ribosomal RNA
Source: RNAcentral